RNAcentral lists this long non-coding RNA (1533 nucleotides) under Salvia miltiorrhiza (redroot sage). Its description in RNAcentral is "long non-coding RNA (SMIL_LNC007782)". The record is from RNAcentral. Lineage: Eukaryota; Viridiplantae; Streptophyta; Magnoliopsida; Lamiales; Lamiaceae.
AAAAAUAAUGGAGAGCAAAAAACAGAAACGUGAAGAUCUACUGAAGUUUAUUAUGCAGAUAAAAACUUCACUGUCUACUCAAGAUCUACAGCAAAAAUGAAGAACCAAUAUCAAGAUAAGAACUCAUUUUCAUACAUUAUUCACAAAGAUAGAAAUAUAAUAAAUACCAGUAGAAUUUUCUGCAUUUGAUCUGACGCCAGUAAUCUUCAACGAUUUUGUUAGCUUUCUCAUUUAGAAUCACCUGUAAAAUAUGUGAAAAAAUUAGUAAAAAUUAAUAAAAAAAAAUUCCUCAAUAAAAAAACUCGUAUAAAAAAAAGGUGAAGAAUAAUAUAAUCACUUUCACAACAAAAAUGGUUAAAAGUAAAGAAACUUCAACUUUACUGUUCUUGAGUAAUAUAAGCUUCUGAGAUUUGCUAAUAUGAGCACUGUAAGUGAAUCUGCAGAUGAGAAAAAAUGAGCCUUUAUUACAAAACUUAUUUAUAUAAAAGUUAAUUAGCUAAUAUCCAGUGGUUAUUAACCUGCAAGUAUUCAAAUGUCAAGACAGUACAGAUAAUACCUCCUCACAGUUCCUAGGAAAUAACAACACAUGCUAACUUUUUUCCUAAGCGAGGCGCAUGGAGUGUGGGCUUAAUUAAUAAAAUAUUAUUAAUUAAGUGUGAGGCAAAUUAGUGUGGUGUGCAGGAGGUAUACAGCUGUAUAUCAUUUAUUCUAAAAUAUUAGGAUAUUCCACUAUUCUAAUAAAAUAUUAUUAAUUAAGAGUGAGGCAAAUUAGUGUGGUGUGCAGGAGGUAUACAGCUCAUUUAUUCUAAAAUAUUAGGAUAUUCUAGUACUAUAUGAACUAAUCUAUUAAAUAUUAAUUUAUAUACAAAUUAGUGAAUUACCCAUUAUCUAAAUUCUAGAAGUCAGUUCGUCACUUACCUUAGGUAAAUAUAUUAGAAUUUUUUAGGCUUUACUGCGCCUCGCCUACGAAAAGCCCGCGCCUGCGCUUAAAGCCCUGCGCCUAGGCUCCGAGGCAUGUUUGCGCCUCAUGCGCCUCGGGCUUUUUAAAACCCAGAUCAGACUUAUACUCACAUAUAUAUAUACAUAAUAGAAUUUUAUAAAUUUUAAUAUUAUAUUCAUAAAACUAAAUUUAUAUAUCUUAUGUGACAUUUUGGGAAUUUUGGGUUCCUUUUUAUAUUUUUCAAUAUUGAGUUCAUUGAAUUCUCACUUUCAUAAUACAGAAAUUUUAACUUUAUGUAAAGUUUCAUUAGUAUUGAGUUCAUUGAAUCCUCACUUUCAUAUUUCUCAAUUUUGAGUUCAUUAGUAUCUUAAACCAUAGAUAUCUUUAAAUUUAUGAAAAGUUUACUGUGUUGAAAGUACAGCCCAUAUACUUAUGAUCUACCCAUAAAUAUCUCUAUCUCCUAUUUUACUGAUUUAUAUGCUUAAAAAUACAGGUCAUAUACUGAUGUUGUGGCUCCAAGAUCAAAACACCAUACAAAAUCCUUAUGAAAUAUUGUGGCUACUAUGCAUAAGGUAACAUCACCUUACUUGUAA